AGUGAACUGGUUCAAUUUGUUUCUCUCGUAUGUCUGCUCUCCUCAGGCCAGUGGAAACCAGUCCUGACAGAGGGGCGUUUUGGAAACACAAUGGAGAGCUGAACUCUUCCAGUGCUUUCCCUGUUCAUCACUCAAAGGAUGACAAAAUGCAGCAGCAGUUGCCCAGACACAAGUGGCAACUCAAGUCCCCCUAUGAGCAGGAGAGACUCAGCACAGAGCAGGAACCUGAGGAGCCAUACACAGGCUGGGGGGAGCAGGAGCAAAGGCAGGGCAAAAGGAACAGAAGAUGAACCUGAUCAAAGGACUUCCUAUUGUGAGAAAUACCAGACUCCAGAACUGCUUUCCAAGGUAGGUAGAAAUGGAAAGCACUGGUACACAACCACUUAAGAGCAAAAAAGUCAGUCAACUGCAGAGAAAACUGGUCACAACCAGUACAGAGGGAAGAAAAUCGUGCUUUUCACUUCUCACUCUUUGUCUACACUGAAUGUGAAUCUUGCAAAAUAAGCCCAGCUAGGACAAAGUGGGAUUUUGAGGCAACACCACAAAAAAUCACUUCCUUUUGCAGCAAACAGUGCUAGAGGACAACAAACCAUCCUCAGUGUAGUUUUGAGACCUUUCACUACUAGGUGCUGCUUUUUCAGAGAUGGAAGGGAAAAAAUAUUUCAUGUUUCCUUCCAUUUUUAUCUUAGCUUACACAUUGUUAAGCAUCUGUUGCGUUUCACCUUGAAGAGUUACAAUUGAAGAACUAAAGCUUCUUCAUAACACAGAUCCAAGACAAUGAUUAAUAACAAUUAUCAGCAGUGAUUAGCUAAUACAACCAGAAUACAACAAUCCCACUGCCUGCCAGUCAUUUGCAGGCAUCAGCACUGACGCAUGGCAGCUGUUCUUAUUAAAUCCUGCCUCAGUCCUGAGGCCAGAAGGAGAAUCCUCUUUGCAGCAGCACCCUCAGCCGAAUGCGAUGCAGGCUGCAGCUUCCCAUGCUGGAAAGGGACAGGAAAAAGUGAGUUUAGAAAUACUGAACUCAACACAGAAAUCUUUAUAACCCUGUUAGAGAGAGAGAAGCUGAUCCUUGCAAAAGGGUUCCCUAAGGAAAGGAACUUGUAAAGUGAAACAACAGACCGAUUUUCCAGUUACAGGACGGGAAACUAGUUCAGGAAAGAACCCCCUGAAAGGGGUAGUAGGAAGGCACUUCCCACCAGAUGAAGUGGACGUUUGCAAAAACUACUAAAUCUUUGUCUCCAUGUACACAAAGGAGGCUGAGAGACAGAUGUCACAUACAUACCUAGACUUCCCAGGAGAAUAAUGGAAGAGAAAUUAGGACAGAACAGAUGUUCCAGGAAUUAAAAUUUUGAAGGGUAACCCAAACACCCAAGGAGCUGUUGCUGCUCAGGUGAGCUCCAGCUGCCUCAAGGUAUGCCUAUAUCACACGGUACAGAAGCUUACAGCUGUGCCCUAUGCACCUCAGAAAAGCCCGCUAGGUUGGGGUCAUUCAAGUAUCUCUUCGGAGCACUGCGCCCUGAGCCCAAAGGGCAAGAGAAGGCUAAUGUUCUGCCAGGCCAUUUUAAGCCAUCUUCAGGAAGCAGAUAAGAAGGUGCAUCUCUGCAGAUCAUUUGAUGACAGAUACGUACAGACAUGUGCAUCCACUGCAGAGUGAAUCCAUCACUCAGCCUGAGAUCUGGGUCAGGUUUUCUGGCUCAACCUGAAACUCAACUGAUGACCACUCAAAAAAAAAAAAAAAAAAAAAAGGAAAGAAAGAGGGACGAGAAUGGGGGUGGGGAGCAAGAGGUGGUUGUUUUCACACAUUUUUGCUUCCUGUCCUUUCUAAAUGUCACACAUUUGUCUCGUGUUACUUGGAAGUCCCUUCUUUGCAGCCAGCAAGAGAACACACAUUCAGCAAGGGAACUGAGAAACCAUUCAAGGGCAGGGAUUUUUUGUCCAAGUUUCAGGCUUAAACCCAUUUCACGUAUGGCCUGUAAUGUUAAAGACAUGACAACUCCCUCCAAAACCCACACAAUUUAGAAUUUAUUUAUUUUUUUCUUUUUAGCAACCUUGAAAUCUUACAGCAUACCAGGUGACAAACAACUGGUCUAAGCUCCCUGCCAUAUCUGGCUGUUGCAAGUUAAGAUGACGAUGUGGGUAUAACUUUAUCUUUGAAUUUCUUUCUGAUCAAUGUCAAUUCAAGACAAGCUCUGAUGUUGUUUUCUUCUCCACUGAAUAGACCAGGUGCUACAGAAGCACUUGGUGUAGCCUAACACAGCGCAAAACAAGUGUCGUAUUGAAUUAGCAAUUCUCUACUACACUUCUCUUCCU
Long non-coding RNA from Anas platyrhynchos (mallard), 2310 nucleotides. RefSeq lists it as uncharacterized. The record is from RefSeq and is a predicted model, not a curated record. Lineage: Eukaryota; Metazoa; Chordata; Aves; Anseriformes; Anatidae.